This 209-nucleotide unclassified non-coding RNA is filed under the name uncultured Klebsiella sp. RNAcentral describes it as "16S-23S ribosomal RNA intergenic spacer". The stretch from base 95 to 202 matches the Rfam family "Salmonella enterica Typhi npcRNA 44". The record is from RNAcentral. Lineage: Bacteria; Pseudomonadati; Pseudomonadota; Gammaproteobacteria; Enterobacterales; Enterobacteriaceae.
ACCUUAAAGAACCUGCCUUUGUAGUGCUCACACAGAUUGUCUGAUGAAUGAUAAAUUUCAAAAUGUACUGCGAAGUGCAUUGUGAAAUUUUGCUCUUUAAAAAUCUGGACCAAGCUGAAAAUUGAAACGACACACAUGUUAUGUGUGUUCGAGUCUCUCAAAUUUUCGCAAACCGGUGAUGAAUCGAAAGAAACAUCUUCGGGUUGUGA